UCUCGAAUUAAAAAGAGCUAAUAUUAUAUAUAUUUAAUUGUAGCAUAAAUUUUUAAAAUAUAAUAUUAGAAAUGAAACGUUAUUCGUUUUUUAAGAUAUCUAGUUUUUUAAGAAAUAAAUUUAAUUUAGUUUAUUAUAUAUAAUAUAUUAAAUUUUUAGUAUAUUAUUAUAAUAAUGUAAUAUUUUAAGGGAUAAGCUUUAAAAUAAAUUAUUAUAAUUUUCAUUUAGUUAAUAAAAAUUAGUAGGAUUGGAAAUGUUAAUCAAUAGUUUGUUAUAAUUAAUUUUUAUUAGAAUAAGAUUUAUAUGGAAUUUAGUUUUUUUAUUAAAAUAAUAUAUUUAAUAGGAAUUUAUAUGAAAUAAUGAUAGAAUUAGUAUAGUUUAUUGUAUAAUUAAAUUAAAGGAUAAAGGUUAUAUUAAGGAACUCGGCAAAUAUAUUUUUCGCCUGUUUAUUAAAAACAUGUCUUUUUGAGUAUAAUUUAAAGUCUGACCUGCCCAAUGAGGAGUUGAAUGGCCGCGGUAUUUUGACCGUGCAAAGGUAGCAUAAUCAUUAGUUUUUUAAUUGAAAGCUAGAAUGAAUGGUUGGACGAGAAAAUAACUGUCUCAAUUUAAUUGAAUUAGAAUUUUAUUUAUAAGUAAAAAAGCUUAUAUAAUUUUAAAAGACGAGAAGACCCUAUAGAGUUUUAUAUUUAUUUAUAUAAGUUAUUUUUAGUAUAUUUUAAUAUUUUAUAUAAAUAAGUAUUUUAUUGGGGCGAUAGAAAAAUUAAAAUAACUUUUUUUAUAUUAGUACAUUAAUAUAUGAAUAAAUGAUCCAAUAUUUUUGAUUAUAAGAUUAAAUUACCUUAGGGAUAACAGCGUAAUUUUUUUUUAGAGUUCUUAUCGAAAAAAGAGUUUGCGACCUCGAUGUUGGAUUAAAAUUAACUUUUGGUGCAGGAGCUAAAAGGUUAGGUCUGUUCGAC
RNAcentral lists this ribosomal RNA (956 nucleotides) under Adoretus tenuimaculatus. RNAcentral's name for it is "partial 16S ribosomal RNA". The record is from RNAcentral. Lineage: Eukaryota; Metazoa; Arthropoda; Insecta; Coleoptera; Scarabaeidae.